UACAGAGGGGGCAAGCGUUGUUCGGAAUUACUGGGCGUAAAGGGCGCGUAGGCGGCCUGCUAAGUCGAACGUGAAAUCCCCGGGCUCAACCCGGGAACUGCGUCCGAUACUGGCAGGCUUGAAUCCGGGAGAGGGAUGCGGAAUUCCAGGUGUAGCGGUGAAAUGCGUAGAUAUCUGGAGGAACACCGGUGGCGAAGGCGGCAUUCUGGACCAAUACUGACGCUGAGGAGCGAAAGCCAGGGGAGCAAACGGG
This 253-nucleotide ribosomal RNA is filed under the name uncultured bacterium. RNAcentral's name for it is "partial 16S ribosomal RNA". It matches the Rfam family "Bacterial small subunit ribosomal RNA", at positions 524 to 776 of the family's 1533-position model. The record is from RNAcentral.